CAGGGAUUCCCAGAGGAUUUUGCAUUUCUGACAAUGGACGGAGCAGACAGCUGGUCCACACAAAAAUUUCAACCUCUUCCUCUUCACCACAGAGGUUCAUGCCCAGCAGUGCAGCAGAGCCACAAAGCCGGACUUAUGCUGGCCCCCUGGAUAUCCGCGGGUUAUCCCACCGGUGAGGGGGCAGGACCUCACUGCCAGCAGCGAUGCCUUGGGAUGCUUGUGUUGGGCACGUGUUGGUCCUCUCCAGCCAAAGCAGGAGGCAAAGGCUGCCUUCACCAGGCUGCUGGGUGCAGUCUUGCAGGUAGAGGCUGCACGGUGCUCAAAUAUCUUCAGGCUCUGGGUGGGAGAUGGGCUCGAGCCUGCCCAGCCCUGCUGAGGAGUGCACAUUUUUGGCCUGUCCAUGGCAGUGUGGUGGGAACAGCCCCUUCCUUCACCAGGGGAAGUGGAAAUUUUUGUCAGUGCACACAAAGGGGAAUUGGGUCUUCAAGGAUCAAUCCUACAAGCAAAUGACAAUAACACUGUGGGAGGAGUGAUGUAUGAGAGAGGUCAACUUUUGCAACCAGAUUAGCGCAGACUUUCUCCUUCAGUGUUUGAUCCUUUUUACCAUUGCUCAGAUCAUGUCAAGUUUACUCAUAGUCAGAGAGUGCUUUCCAACAGCUUCUCCUGAAUAUUUUAAUUCAUUUAUUUCUCCCAUCCGCUUCCCUUUCCUCUUCCAUUUCACUAUUACAGAUGUCAGUUCAACAAAUAAAGUAUGUGGGCAGGACAAUGAAACUAUUCUCUUGCAAAAAAAAAAAAAGAGAGAGAGAGAUUAUUUCAUUCUCCUGCUAUUAACUUUAAAAGAAAAGGCCUUUUGUACCUUUCAUACAAGCGGGUGUAAUGAUACAGUUGUGUACCUCGGCUCCUUAGCUUCUGAGGAAAUGAUUCAGGAGAGCAUCUUUUUGAAAGACUAUCAGUAUAACCUGAAAUUUCUUUUACCUAGGAACCUCUUUCAAGUAAGGCAAAAUAAUUCCUGAACAUAAUGCCACACAGGUAACCUGGACUGUGCUGCUUCCCUCCAUCUGCUCCACACUCCUAGCUGGGCUGCUAAAGGAUCUGGUGGAUUCUCCAUCUAUUUGGAUACGUAAUCUGAUUUUUUCUUAGUUUCUACAUCAUGUUCUAUUAUGAGGGUAAGGGAAUAUGGGAAAGGGGGGAAAAAGAGGCUAGGACAGGUGAAGAAAAAAUGUAUUUUCUGGAAAAAAAUAAAUAAAUAUCAUUUUGGUGUUUUGCCUGAUAUUAGGACAAAUACUAUCUGUCCAGAGUAUUCCACUGCCAAGUGAAUAAGAAAAUAAAUACUUUUUUUGA
Molecule: long non-coding RNA, 1341 nt
Organism: Cygnus olor (mute swan)
Lineage: Eukaryota; Metazoa; Chordata; Aves; Anseriformes; Anatidae
Exons: 2
Source: RefSeq, a predicted model, not a curated record